Molecule: transfer RNA, 66 nt
Filed under: Iridoteuthis sp. GS-2021
Lineage: Eukaryota; Metazoa; Mollusca; Cephalopoda; Sepiida; Sepiolidae
Description: tRNA-Tyr
Source: RNAcentral
UAUGAGGUGGUCGAUUAAAGUCGGUAGAUUGUAAAUCUAUGAAUAAGUAUAAAAACUUUCUCGUAA